This 432-nucleotide ribosomal RNA is filed under the name uncultured bacterium. RNAcentral's name for it is "partial 16S ribosomal RNA". It matches the Rfam family "Bacterial small subunit ribosomal RNA", at positions 29 to 506 of the family's 1533-position model. The record is from RNAcentral.
AACGAACGCUGGCGGCAUGCCUAACACAUGCAAGUCGAACGAGACCUUCGGGUCUAGUGGCGCACGGGUGCGUAACGCGUGGGAACCUGCCCUUAGGUUCGGAAUAACUCCCCGAAAGGGGUGCUAAUACCGGAUAAUGUCUUCGGACCAAAGAUUUAUCGCCUUUGGAUGGGCCCGCGUUGGAUUAGCUAGUUGGUAGGGUAAAAGCCUACCAAGGCGACGAUCCAUAGCUGGUCUGAGAGGAUGAUCAGCCACACUGGGACUGAGACACGGCCCAGACUCCUGAGGGGGGGAGCAGGGGGGAAUAAUGGACAAUGGGCGAAAGCCGAAUCCAGCAGUGCCGGGGAGGUGAUGAAGGCCUUAGGGUUGUAAAUCUCUUUUACCCGGGAUGAUAAUAACGGUACCGGGGAAAAAGGCCCCGCCAAACUCCGG